This is a long non-coding RNA of Carassius carassius (crucian carp), 336 nucleotides long. RefSeq lists it as uncharacterized. The transcript is spliced from 3 exons. NCBI's taxonomy places the organism in Eukaryota, Metazoa, Chordata, Actinopteri, Cypriniformes, Cyprinidae. The record is from RefSeq and is a predicted model, not a curated record.
GUUUGGUUGUAUUUGUCUGUGUUUUUAGGUGAAGGCAAAAGGGUGGUGUUGCAAAUGCAGUUGAAGCCUGUUGGACAGGUGAACAUGCAGGACCCUGUAAUUAGGGCCAACAUGUUAGCUAAGAUCAAUGAUAAAUUUAACAAACUUGGGUUUGGCAAUGCUGUCAAAAUACGGUGGCUCACAAGGCGGGAACCGCAGAGGAAAAACAGUGAAAAUGACACUUGCACUUUUUUUGAUCCUCUUUAGGUUUUUUUUUGUUUUUUUAUAACAUAUAAUGUGGGCACUUUAGGUUUAUCCAUAUAUUGCAUAGAAAUGGUUUUGAUAGAAAACACCUCU